This 344-nucleotide ribosomal RNA is filed under the name uncultured Sphingobacteriales bacterium. Its description in RNAcentral is "bacterial SSU rRNA". It matches the Rfam family "Bacterial small subunit ribosomal RNA", at positions 1039 to 1382 of the family's 1533-position model. The record is from RNAcentral. Lineage: Bacteria; Pseudomonadati; Bacteroidota; Sphingobacteriia; Sphingobacteriales.
UGCUGCAUGGUUGUCGUCAGCUCGUGCCGUGAGGUGUCGGGUUAAGUCCCAUAACGAGCGCAACCCUUAUCGUUAGUUGCCAGCUGGUAAAGCAGGGGACUCUAGCGAAACUGCCACCGUAAGGUGAGAGGAAGGUGGGGAUGACGUCAAAUCAGCACGGCCCUUAUGUCCAGGGCUACACACGUGUUACAAUGGCCGGCACAGAGGGCAGCUACCUGGUGACAGGAUGCUAAUCUCGAAAACCGGUCUCAGUUCGGAUCGAAGUCUGCAACUCGACUUCGUGAAGCUGGAUUCGCUAGUAAUCGCGCAUCAGCCAUGGCGCGGUGAAUACGUUCCCGGGUCUU